GGCGGCAUGCCUAACACAUGCAAGUCGAACGGUAACAGGCCCGCAAGGGUGCUGACGAGUGGCGGACGGGUGAGGAAUACAUCGGAAUCUGCCCGGUUGUGGGGGAUAACGUAGGGAAACUUACGCUAAUACCGCAUACGACCGAGAGGUGAAAGCGUGGGAUCCGCAAGGACCUCGCGCAGCCGGAUGAGCCGAUGUCGGAUUAGCUAGUUGGCGGGGUAAAGGCCCACCAAGGCGACGAUCCGUAGCUGGUCUGAGAGGAUGAUCAGCCACACUGGGACUGAGACACGGCCCAGACUCCUACGGGAGGCAGCAGUGGGGAAUAUUGGACAAUGGGGGCAACCCUGAUCCAGCAAUGCCGCGUGUGUGAAGAAGGCCUUCGGGUUGUAAAGCACUUUUAUCCGGAACGAAACGCCCCAGGUGAAUAACCUGGUGAACUGACGGUACCGGANGAAUAAGCACCGGCUAACUUCGUGCCAGCAGCCGCGGUAAUACGAA
Molecule: ribosomal RNA, 498 nt
Filed under: uncultured Gammaproteobacteria bacterium
Lineage: Bacteria; Pseudomonadati; Pseudomonadota; Gammaproteobacteria
Description: bacterial SSU rRNA
Rfam family: Bacterial small subunit ribosomal RNA
Source: RNAcentral